UCAUGUUUCCAUCAUCUGGUCGUUCCCACUGCACAUGCACACGUACGUGUAGCUUUGAGAUAUCAUCAUCCCUCACCUUGUUGUUUGGCGCUUUGCUUCAGCUGCCUGCAUAUGUUGUGCGGUUACAAAGCGGCUCAGAUCUUCUUUUGACUUGCAGUUGCUUCAGGUUGGUUGCCUCCGGCGUCCCCUACACCACCCCCACCAACCCAAGCCCGAAGAUGGUCACUUCAAGGCUUUGUUUCAGGUUGAAGCAAAUCGGGCUGAGCGCCCCAACAAACGAGGUGUCGCGUUCGUCCAGCCAGUUUCGCAGGUAGCUUCGCCGGUGAAACAAAGCAGCGGACUGUAGCUUGGAAACUGACAGGGAAAGGUGGUAGAUGUGUGUCGCAGUUGCAGGUGACUUUGAGCACGUUAGUAGGUGGAAUCUGAUGCACUCACCAGUCACUGGCGUCAACAUUUGUGCAUAUUUUACUUGUGGGGUGGUGUGGAUGAUGCUGGGCUGCUAGCUCCUGCUAGACCACUACGUACGGCGUCGCCUACCCUAGGCGACAUGGGCGGCAGCCCCUAACCUCCGACUCCACAUGUAUCCUUCGGACGUUGUAUCCUUCAUGAAGGCACUGUCUUGUUGCUCGUGAUGUGUUCGGUGUUGGAUUUGAAGACUUCGGACGCUUUGCUGGUCCGGGUUGCUCCUCUUGGCAUGGGCAUCCGGGGCGCUAUGUACGGCCUCGACGACGCUCUCUCCGUGGCUUCUCCUCAUAGUUCGGCCAGAUCCUGCACCCCACUUGCCGAUCCUCUAGGCACUUAGGUGGGAGGUACGUUGAUUUGGUUCGUCCUGGAGGCGUGGCCGUGCGGUGAUGGUGCCCGGCGUUGGUCGCAACGCGGCCCAGAUACCUUUGUAUCUCGUCUCUUUGCCGCAGGCUGGAGUUCGAGCUAGGAGAGUCUAUGCUGUGUUGUAUCCCUUCUUGUGUCUUUCCCACACCUUGUGUGGUAUUUCUCUCUUUUCCUCUUGUAUGUCUAUGUAAUUUCUCUUCUACCUAUCAAUGAAUGAUACGCAAGCUUUGCGUAUUCACGAAAAAAAAA
RNAcentral lists this long non-coding RNA (1077 nucleotides) under Triticum aestivum (bread wheat). Its description in RNAcentral is "long non-coding RNA (TAES_LNC009004)". The record is from RNAcentral. Lineage: Eukaryota; Viridiplantae; Streptophyta; Magnoliopsida; Poales; Poaceae.